This 468-nucleotide ribosomal RNA is filed under the name uncultured bacterium. Its description in RNAcentral is "partial 16S ribosomal RNA". It matches the Rfam family "Bacterial small subunit ribosomal RNA", at positions 28 to 507 of the family's 1533-position model. The record is from RNAcentral.
GACGAACGCUGGCGGCGUGCUUAACACAUGCAAGUCGAACGGAAAGGCCCUGCUUUUGUGGGGUGCUCGAGUGGCGAACGGGUGAGUAACACGUGAGUAACCUGCCCUUGACUUUGGGAUAACUUCAGGAAACUGGGGCUAAUACCGGAUAGGAGCUCCUGCUGCAUGGUGGGGGUUGGAAAGUUUCGGCGGUUGGGGAUGGACUCGCGGCUUAUCAGCUUGUUGGUGGGGUAGUGGCUUACCAAGGCUUUGACGGGUAGCCGGCCUGAGAGGGUGACCGGCCACAUUGGGACUGAGAUACGGCCUAGACUCCUACGGGAGGCAGCAGUGGGGAAUAUUGCACAAUGGGCGGAAGCCUGAUGCAGCAACGCCGCGUGCGGGAUGACGGCCUUCGGGUUGUAAACCGCAUUCGCCUGUGACGAAGCGUGAGUGGCGGUAAUGGGUAAAGAAGCACCGGCUAACUACGUG